AGAAAUGUAUGUACUUGGUCUUUCCUUUAAAUGCAUUUUUUUUAGUUAAAGAUUGGGGGCUCUAUUUACUUUUCAUAGCUAACAAAAGGCAAAACAAAAAAACAAAAAAAUAAUAGAAUUGGAAAGCCGACUUAGCAGCUAGAAUGGAGCCAUCCAUCAUCGGAGCUCCGAUCGACUUCCCCGAGAACAGAUCCUUCUACUCCACCAGCUACAUCGACCGAUGAUAAAGCCAGUCUCAUUUCUUUUUUUAUUCCAAGCUAACUAUUACUUCCACUUUGAGUUCUGGAUUUCUUCAAUGGCGAGGAAACAACUCCAAUUUGAGUAACCUCUACGAUCUAUCACCGUAGCAGAAGUAACCGUAUUGAGCCGGGAACUGCGUGGGCUAUAGAGAUGAAAAUGUAAAACAGUUUUUCAAGAAAUAAUUAAGCGAAGACGACAAUGCUGGCGAUCACUUAGAGAUUCCCAGGACAUUAGCGCACUAUUUACAGAGUUUGAUAAUGCAACAUUGCGUUAAUCGUGGGUUUUAAUGGAGUCGCUUGAGGACCAUGAAGCGUGGUGGAUGUGUUCUUGGGGUUUCUUUCGAUAUUCAGAUUAGGUUUGUUUGAGAUUCCUUUCUACAUUGGAAGCUGGUUGGUUCUCUCGACAUGCCCAAGAUAGCUUUUGCCGAAGCUGAAGUUAGUGUCAUCAACCAACCUGGAUGUUGCUGUGGUGGGAACGAAGAUGCUCUACUACUGAAUCAAGUGUUCUGUUGAAUUUUCGGAUUCUUUUCCCAGCUGAUUAUCUUCACUUGAAGUUCUUGUUUGCUAUCUUUCUUCACUUGGAAUAUACAGUGUGUAAAACCCAAUUUUUAGCUGUGUUUGCCUUGAUAGGAUUACUGGUCGAUUAGCUGCUUCUCUUAUAUUGUGGUAUUUAUUUGUUUGGAAGCUCACAGCAACACUUUUUAGCAAUUCUGGUUGGGUUGUUGAAGCUGCCCGGGGCAUAAUUGAAGUGAUCUGCUGCUGUCCAGAGCUGCAUGCCAUUUAGCAUGCUAUUGCUGAGCGAAAACAUCAGGGGUCUCCUACUUGCAAUAGGAAUCUUUGAUCUACAUGUUUUCUUGCUAUAUUGUUUAUUGUUUUAGAAGCUGAAUAUUAACUUCUCUAAAGGUGAUGGUUAUAGUUCA
This is a long non-coding RNA of Capsicum annuum, 1159 nucleotides long. RefSeq lists it as uncharacterized. The transcript is spliced from 2 exons. The record is from RefSeq and is a predicted model, not a curated record. Lineage: Eukaryota; Viridiplantae; Streptophyta; Magnoliopsida; Solanales; Solanaceae.